Molecule: non-coding RNA, 176 nt
Organism: Agrilus planipennis (emerald ash borer)
Lineage: Eukaryota; Metazoa; Arthropoda; Insecta; Coleoptera; Buprestidae
Source: Rfam
AUGUACCAUGUAAACAUUUUUAUAAUUAAUUUUUCUUUAUUUUUAGGUGUACCAUUGCUACCAGAACCUAUUAUAAGGGAGAGGGGUUUUAGUUGGUAGGUCCUCCUGUUAGGGAAUCCAACACUACCCAGUCGUACGGUCGGCGGGGUGUCUUUCGAAGAUUUCCCCUCUUCCAC